AGGACGAACGCUGGCGGCGUGCCUAACACAUGCAAGUCGAACGAGGUCCAACCGGUAGCAAUACCGGUGAAGAUCAAGUGGCGAACGGGUGAGUAGCACGUGAGCAACCUGCCCCGAAGACCGGGACAACACCGGGAAACCGGUGCUAAUACCGGAUAUCCCCACCGAGUCGCAUGGCUCAGUGAGGAAAUGGAUUCCGCUUCGGGAGGGGCUCGCGGCCUAUCAGCUAGUUGGUGAGGUAACGGCUCACCAAGGCUUCGACGGGUAGCUGGUCUGAGAGGACGAUCAGCCACACUGGGACUGAGACACGGCCCAGACUCCUACGGGAGGCAGCAGUGGGGAAUCUUGCACAAUGGGCGAAAGCCUGAUGCAGCAACGCCGCGUGAGGGACGAAGGCUUUCUGAGUUGUAAACCUCUUUCAGCAGGGACGAUUGUGACGGUACCUGCAGAAGAAGCCCGGCAACUACGUGCCAGCAGCCGC
This 481-nucleotide ribosomal RNA is filed under the name uncultured bacterium. RNAcentral describes it as "SSU rRNA". It matches the Rfam family "Bacterial small subunit ribosomal RNA", at positions 26 to 518 of the family's 1533-position model. The record is from RNAcentral.